This 687-nucleotide long non-coding RNA is filed under the name Nicotiana tabacum (common tobacco). RNAcentral describes it as "long non-coding RNA (NTAB_LNC000477)". Lineage: Eukaryota; Viridiplantae; Streptophyta; Magnoliopsida; Solanales; Solanaceae. The record is from RNAcentral.
GGAGGAGAAGCGUAAAGAUAGGGGUGGUGUGGUGCUGGAGACUUGUAGACUGGAGUUGGUGGUGGAGGUGACUUGUAAACAGGAGUUGGUGGUGGUGGAGACAUAUAAACUGGUGCAGGAUGGUAUGGUGUUGGUGAAGGAUGGUAUGGCUUCACUGGUGGCGGUGGUGACUUGUAAACUGGUGCAGGAUGAUACGGUGUUGGUGAAGGGUGGUAUGGCUUCUUGGGUGGUGGUGGUGACUUGUAAACGGGAGCUGGUGGUGGUGGCGACUUGUAAACUGGUGUGUGUGGAGGGUAGUAUGGCUUCUUGGGUGGUGGUGGUGACUUGUAAACUGGAGUUGGUGGUGGUGGUGACUUGUAAACCGGGGUGUGUGGAGGGUAGUAUGGCUUCUUGGGUGGUGGUGGCGACUUGUAAACUGGAGUUGGUGGUGGUGGAGACUUAUAAACCGGGGUGUGUGGAGGGUAGUAUGGCUUCUUGGGUGGUGGUGGCGACUUGUAAACUGGAGUCGGUGGUGGUGGAGAUUUGUAAACAGGGGUGUGUGGAGGGUAGUAUGGUUUCUUGGGUGGCGGCGGUGACUUGUAAACCGGAGUUGGUGGUGGUGGCGACUUGUAAACUGGGGUGUGUGGAGGGUAGGAUGGCUUCUUGGGUGGUGGUGGUGACUUGUAAACGGGAGUUGGUGGUGGUGGC